Molecule: transfer RNA, 65 nt
Filed under: Erinaceus europaeus (western European hedgehog)
Lineage: Eukaryota; Metazoa; Chordata; Mammalia; Eulipotyphla; Erinaceidae
Rfam family: tRNA
About the family: Transfer RNA (tRNA) molecules are approximately 80 nucleotides in length.
Source: Rfam by way of RNAcentral
GAGGUGGCUCAGGGGUAGAGCAUGUGUCUUGCAGACAUAAGGCAUUGGGUUCAAUCCCUGGCUUC